Molecule: transfer RNA, 85 nt
Filed under: Felis catus (domestic cat)
Lineage: Eukaryota; Metazoa; Chordata; Mammalia; Carnivora; Felidae
Also listed under: 2 other names
Rfam family: tRNA
About the family: Transfer RNA (tRNA) molecules are approximately 80 nucleotides in length. Their secondary structure includes four short double-helical elements and three loops (D, anti-codon, and T loops). Further hydrogen bonds mediate the characteristic L-shaped molecular structure. tRNAs have two regions of fundamental functional importance: the anti-codon, which is responsible for specific mRNA codon recognition, and the 3' end, to which the tRNAs corresponding amino acid is attached (by aminoacyl-tRNA synthetases). tRNAs cope with the degeneracy of the genetic code in two manners: having more than one tRNA (with a specific anti-codon) for a particular amino acid; and 'wobble' base-pairing, i.e. permitting non-standard base-pairing at the 3rd anti-codon position.
Source: Rfam by way of RNAcentral
GCCUGGGUGGCUCAGUCGGUUGAGCGUCUGACUUCAGCUCAGGUCAUGAUCCUGCGGUUUGUGAGUUCGAGCCCCGCAUCAGGCA